CGGAUUGACUCAGUGUAAUAGACUAUUCGCUGAGGACACGCUCUUUGUAGUGUGGCCGAAUGAGAUCUCAGUAGAAGCUUCCAACUACUUUAGUCAACUUUAGAUUAGACCUCAGAUCAGGCAGGAUUACCCGCUGAACUUAAGCAUAUCAAUAAGCGGAGGAAAAGAAACUAACAAGGAUUCCCCUAGUAACGGCGAGUGAAGCGGGAAGAGCUCAAAUUUGUAAUCUGGCACUUUCAGUGUCCGAGUUGUAAUCUCGAGAAGUAUUUUCCGCGCCGGACCGCAUACAAGUCUGUUGGAAUACAGCGUCAUAGUGGUGAGAACCCCGUAACUGAUGCGGAUGCCCGGUGCUUUGUGAUAUACUUUCGAAGAGUCGAGUUGUUUGGGAAUGCAGCUCAAAUUGGGUGGUAAAUUCCAUCUAAAGCUAAAUAUUGGAGCAAGACCGAUAGCGAACAAGUACCGUGAGGGAAAGAUGAAAAGCACUUUGGAAAGAGAGUUAACAGUACGUGAAAUUGUUGGAAGGGAAACGCUUGAAGUCAGACUUGCUAUUCGGAGUUCAGCCGCAAGGUGUAUUCUUCGAUUCGCAGGCCAGCAUCAGUUUUCGGGGGUGGAAAAUCACGGUUUGAAGGUAGCAACCUCGGUUGUGUUAUAGCUUUCCGUUGGAUUCAUCCUUGGGGACUGAGGAACGCAGUACGCUUUUGCAAGGCUCUCGAGCUUUUCGUACUUAGGAUGCUGGUGGAAUGGCUUUAAACGACCCGUCUUGAAACACGGACCAAGGAGUCUAACAUGCUUGCGAGUGUUUGGGUGUCAAACCCGGACGCGCAAUGAAAGUGAAUGGAGGUGGGAUCCGCAAGGUGCACCAUCGACCGAUCU
RNAcentral lists this ribosomal RNA (873 nucleotides) under Leucosporidium golubevii. Its description in RNAcentral is "LSU rRNA". The stretch from base 107 to 873 matches the Rfam family "Eukaryotic large subunit ribosomal RNA", at positions 1 to 771 of the family's 3401-position model. The record is from RNAcentral. Lineage: Eukaryota; Fungi; Basidiomycota; Microbotryomycetes; Leucosporidiales; Leucosporidiaceae.